This 509-nucleotide ribosomal RNA is filed under the name uncultured Glomeromycotina. Its description in RNAcentral is "SSU rRNA". It matches the Rfam family "Eukaryotic small subunit ribosomal RNA", at positions 569 to 1079 of the family's 1831-position model. The record is from RNAcentral. Lineage: Eukaryota; Fungi; Glomeromycota.
AGCAGCCGCGGUAAUUCCAGCUCCAAUAGCGUAUAUUAAAGUUGUUGCAGUUAAAAAGCUCGUAGUUGAACUUCGGGGUUCACCCAUUGGUCAGGCUUAAUUGUCUGUACUGGUGAGAUGAGUCUCUACCUUCUGAGGAACUUUCAUGCCAUUUGUUUGGUGUGAUUGGAAAUCAGGACUGUUACUUUGAAAAAAUUAGAGUGUUUAAAGCAGGCUAACGUCUGAAUACAUUAGCAUGGAAUAAUGAAAUAGGACGGAUUGAUUCUAUUUCGUUGGUUUCUAGGGUCACCGUAAUGAUUAAUAGGGAUAGUUGGGGGCAUUAGUAUUCAAUUGUCAGAGGUGAAAUUCUUGGAUUUAUUGAGGACUAACUACUGCGAAAGCAUUUGCCAAGGAUGUUUUCAUUAAUCAAGAACGAAAGUUAGGGGAUCGAAGACGAUCAGAUACCGUCGUAGUCUUAACCAUAAACUAUGCCGACUAGGGAUCGGACGCAGUUAAUUUUAUAAUGACGU